Sorghum bicolor (sorghum) is the source of this 480-nucleotide long non-coding RNA. RefSeq lists it as uncharacterized. The record is from RefSeq and is a predicted model, not a curated record. Lineage: Eukaryota; Viridiplantae; Streptophyta; Magnoliopsida; Poales; Poaceae. The transcript has 3 exons.
AUUCAGUAGAAUGUAAGGCGCUAUUCAAAUAUUCACCAGAAACGGAUGCUAAAGUAAACUUCAAGGCUUUUGCAUAGCAACGGGAGAUACUCGCAAAUCUGAAAAUGAUGAUGUUGUUAAACUGAAUACUACUAUCGGUCAUUCUUUCUUUGUAAAAAUUGGGAUGAUUACUAUAGCAAGUUGGACAGUCGGUUUGGUGUGCGCAAGCACAAGGACGUCGAGAUGCCACACCGUAUGGACUAGUCAUUGUCUGGAAAAAUAGAAGCUGAAUGAGGACUCCCGCUGGAGGUUGGCGCCGGAGGCGACACGCCGUCCACUCUCCCACCCAUGUACACCGAUACUACACUGAUGUCCACAGUGCAACUGGAAACUGAACAGCAUGCUUGGGAAUCGAAAAUGGCAAGGAGCCAGGACAGUAGUGUUGCUGAAAGUAAAGCGUGAACAAAGAAGCAGAUCAGGCGGUAAGAAAGGAGACAGUGU